GCAAAUAGAGGCGUCCACCUGUAUUGGUGGAAAUUAUUAUUUUUUACUUCCCUCAGCAGUUAUCUUUCUUCCUCUUUCAUGCUCGAGGAUGAGCAUUGUCUAAUCAUGGGGGGAGGAGUCAUCGCAUUAUCUCUUACGACUGCUGAGAAAAGUACUAUGUUGCAAGAAGUUCUGAGGAGCUAAAAGAGAAAAAAAAUGUGAAAAAAUAAAGAAAGAAAGAAAAAAUAAAAAGGAAUGAAAAAAUAAAUAAAUAAAGGAGACAAAUAAUAAAGUGCUCCUCAGUUCUUUGAGCUUCAUUAAAAAAGUUCCCAGUGCUUUGAAGAUUAAGGAUUGAUCCAUACUCAUUUUCCAACCAUGUGCAAUCCGAUAAUAAGUACUUCAUUUGUGCCUCGGGAUCAUUCAUUUGCCACUUGUGCAUGUCCACCUAUCUAAAUGCGUGUGUUCCAUCUCUC
Molecule: long non-coding RNA, 452 nt
Filed under: Setaria viridis
Lineage: Eukaryota; Viridiplantae; Streptophyta; Magnoliopsida; Poales; Poaceae
Description: long non-coding RNA (SVIR_LNC006775)
Source: RNAcentral